Molecule: ribosomal RNA, 100 nt
Filed under: Aspergillus clavatus NRRL 1
Lineage: Eukaryota; Fungi; Ascomycota; Eurotiomycetes; Eurotiales; Aspergillaceae
Description: 5.8S ribosomal RNA
Rfam family: 5.8S ribosomal RNA
About the family: 5.8S ribosomal RNA (5.8S rRNA) is a component of the large subunit of the eukaryotic ribosome.
Source: Rfam by way of RNAcentral
GCGAUAACUAAUGUGAAUUGCAGAAUUCAGUGAAUCAUCGAGUCUUUGAACGCACAUUGCGCCCCCUGGUAUUCCGGGGGGCAUGCCUGUCCGAGCGUCA